Molecule: microRNA precursor, 104 nt
Organism: Poecilia formosa (Amazon molly)
Lineage: Eukaryota; Metazoa; Chordata; Actinopteri; Cyprinodontiformes; Poeciliidae
Source: Ensembl
GUCAGUCGGCAGGUUGUUCCUUUGUGCUUGAUCUAACCAUGUGGCUGCCAGGUUCCUAAAGGGGAACAUGGUUCUGUCAAGCACCAUGGAACGGCGCUGCAAAU